This 1984-nucleotide long non-coding RNA is filed under the name Homo sapiens (human). RNAcentral's name for it is "HSALNT0376987". Lineage: Eukaryota; Metazoa; Chordata; Mammalia; Primates; Hominidae. The record is from RNAcentral.
GCCAAGGCCGGGAGCCAGAGCCUAGGGGAGCCGUCGUCUCCGCCCCCGCACUGUCGGGGGGCGGGCCCAAGAGUGCUGGCCAGGCCUUGCAAGUGCGAGUGUCCGCGAGCUGCAGGGGAGGCAGGACGCGUCACACUCGCGGGGGCGUUCCGAGUCCCUGGGGCGCGCCGGCGGGGAGGGAGAGAAGGAGUCUGAGCACCCGCUGGGCGCGGCACUGGGCAGAGGCGCGCGUGUUGCCGGUGUACUGAAGCUGCCCGCGACCGGCGGGAGCGGCGUUUCUCGCUUCCUCGGGGUCCGGUACUCGAAGCGCACGGCAGUCUGACCUCGGCUGGGAAGCGUUAAGCCCCAGCAGAGGGCUGGGAGGGAGUGCAGGAGCACUUGCGGGGUCUGCGCAGAAUACACAGAAGAUCGGGGCAACGAGCAAAGCAAAGCAACUCACCAAACAAUGAAGUUAGGAGAACCCAAUCCCGUGAAAUGAGCGGAACAAGGGAAUAACAGUGCAAAGGCAGCUUGAACAGGCACUACUUCAAUCCCUAAACUUCUCAUGGCAUGGAUUCCUAGGAAAGAGGAUCUUAACUCCUACAGUUUUUCUUUCAAGCUGUAAACUCUGCAGCUUUUCUUUGGAUGGGUACCUGGUGGCAGGCCGGCCCCUGGUUUUUGUGAAUACGAGAGCAAGAGUGCAGUUGAAGAUCCUCCCCCAGGCCCCUGCCCCCUUGUCUUCCUAACCCCUGACUCAGUCUUGCACCACAAGGAGUCUUGCACAGAAAUAUGUGGAGAGUAUAGUUCAAUAUGUGGACAGUAUAGUUCAAUAUGUGGACACUAUAGUUGUUGAUAACCAAGCUCUCUCCCCAAAGCCACCUUGGUCCUGGGAAUAUGCAUCUCAAACAUGCAAAUGACCCUUGAUUGGAUGGACCUAGGGAAGAUGCCUGAUCAAGCCCUGGAAGCGAGUUAUGGGACCAACAUUUGAGCAGGAAAUUUCAUGAUCUCAGGUACCUGGAAGGUGGUCUAGAAUGGAGGGGUAAUGGGGUCUGGGUGAAUAGUGCCCUGAGGGUGUCUCACCUGUGGUAAGGUAUGUGACAAGAGGAAGACUAGAGUGGGCCCUAUAAAUCUUGGGAGGCCAGUAUCCUAUUAAUUACUGUGCUGCUCAGCAUUGCUUGUUCAAAUUACUCCUUUUAAUUGCUUCCAGCAUUUGGACAGAAUACAUACAUAUGUGUGUGUGUGUGUGUGUGUGUGUGUGUGUGUGUGUUUGGUUUAGCAGUUUGCUGUGUUCCCUGUUGCUAGAUUGCUGAGUAGGAGAGUUGAUAAGUUUGCUGUCGCUACGUAGCAACUGGACCAUCACGUUUGUUCCUUUAAGUGCAAGUCUAAUCUUGCUUGUCAGUUACCCCCAGUUAAUUUUGUGGUUUAAAAGCUACUUCUUCCCAUUUCUAAUUUUAGUGUCAGCAUUUUGAUACAGUUUCAGUUUACAUAGAGCCUAGAGUUCCUUAACAGAAAACAGAUUAACACCCUCAAUUCUAGAAUUGAGCCAUAGAGCUUUGCUAAUUGUUUAGUUCCUGUUUGUGGGGCCAUUGUAUGUGGGGAACACUAUGUGAUGGUUAAUUUUAUGUGUCGACUUGACUAGGCCAUGGGAUGCCCAGGUAGCUGGUUAAACAUGAUGGCGGGGUAUGUCUGUGAAAGUGUUUCUGGAGGAGAUUAGUGUUUGAGUUGAUGGACUGAGUAAAGCACAUGCCCUUCUCAGUGUUGGUGGGCUUCAUGCAAUCCAUUAGGGCUUGAAUAGACUAAAAAAGUAGGGGAAGGUGAAAUUCACUCUCUGCCUCACUGCAUGAGUGGGGACAUUGAUCUCCUGCCGCUGACACUUAUGGUUUUCAGGCCUUCAGACCAGGACUGGAAUCUACACCACUGGCUCUUCAGCUCCCAGACUUUCAAACUUUGUCACCAGCUUUACUGGGUCUCCAGCUUGUACAUGACAGAUUGUGGGACUUCUCAG